Oreochromis aureus is the source of this 536-nucleotide long non-coding RNA. NCBI's taxonomy places the organism in Eukaryota, Metazoa, Chordata, Actinopteri, Cichliformes, Cichlidae. The record is from Ensembl.
CAGAGAUGCAGACUGGAGGGGUCAGUUAAGCAGACAGACUAAGGAGAGAGGACAACAGAGUUAGGGAAGGAGUGGAGAGGAGCUCUGAAGAUGGAUGCAGCCAUCAGAAGCUGGGUACACUGUGGUCAUAAAAGGAGGACAUGGUCAGCAACAAUACUCAGAUAGGCUGUAGCGAUUAAAUUAUGCUCGUUGAUACUAAAGGACCCAAAAUGUGCCAAAAGGAUUCCCUACACCAUUACACCACUAGCCUGAAUCAGUGAUAGAAAGCAGGAUCGAUCCAUGAUUUUAGUUCUGAACCUAGCUUUUGAGUUUUUCAGCAGAAAUUGAGUGUCAUCAGACCAGGCAACAUUUUCCAAUCUUUUAUGGCCAAAUUUUGAUAAGUGUAGACUGUAGCCUCAGUUUUCUGUUUUUAGCAUGACAGCAGUGGCAUCCAGUGUGACCUUCUGCUGCUGUAACAGAUCUACUUCAAGGCUCAGUGUAGGCUCUUCUGCACACCUUGGUUGAUCAUUCUUGGGCUGGUUUUUUGCAAAGUCCCU